This 454-nucleotide ribosomal RNA is filed under the name uncultured bacterium. Its description in RNAcentral is "bacterial SSU rRNA". It matches the Rfam family "Bacterial small subunit ribosomal RNA", at positions 340 to 786 of the family's 1533-position model. The record is from RNAcentral.
UACGGAAGGCAGCAGUGGGGAAUAUUGCACAAUGGGCGCAAGCCUGAUGCAGCCAUGCCGCGUGUAUGAAGAAGGCCUUCAGGUUGUAAAGUACUUUCAGUCGUGAGGAAGGUGUUAAGGUUAAUAACCUUAGCAAUUGACGUUAGCGACAGAAGAAGCACCGGCUAACUCCGUGCCAGCAGCCGCGGUAAUACGGAGGGUGCGAGCGUUAAUCGGAAUUACUGGGCGUAAAGGGCACGCAGGCGGUUAAUUAAGUUGGAUGUGAAAUCCCCGGGCUUAACCUGGGAAUGGCAUUCAAGACUGGUUAGCUAGAGUCUUGUAGAGGGGGUAGAAUUCCGAUGUGUAGCGGUGAAAUGCGUAGAGAUGUGGAGGAAUACCGGUGGCGAAGGCGGCCCCUGGACAAAGGCUGACGCUCAUGUGCGAAAGCGUGGGGAGCAAACAGGGAUUAGAUACC